GGCUCAGUCGAUAGAGCAUGGGACUCUUAAUCCCAGGGUCGUGGGUUCAUGCCCCAC
Molecule: transfer RNA, 57 nt
Filed under: Cricetulus griseus (Chinese hamster)
Lineage: Eukaryota; Metazoa; Chordata; Mammalia; Rodentia; Cricetidae
Rfam family: tRNA
About the family: Transfer RNA (tRNA) molecules are approximately 80 nucleotides in length. Their secondary structure includes four short double-helical elements and three loops (D, anti-codon, and T loops).
Source: Rfam by way of RNAcentral